CGGCCACACUGGAACUGAGACACGGUCCAGACUCCUACGGGAGGCAGCAGUAGGGAAUCUUCCGCAAUGGGCGAAAGAGUCCCUGGGAGCAACGCCGCGUGAGUGAUGAAGGUCUUCGGAUCGUAAAGCUCUGUUGUUAGGGAAGAACAAAUGUGUAAGUAACUGUGCACAUCUUGACGGUACAACUAACCAGAAAGCCACGGCUAACUACGCGCGUGCCAGCAGCCGCGGUAAUACGUAGGUGGCAAGCGUUAUCCGGAAUUAUUGGGCGUAAAGCGCGCGUAGGCGGUUUUUUAAGUCUGAUGUGAAUGCAAAGCCCACGGCUCAACCGUGGAGGGUCAUUGGAAACUGGAAAACUUGAGUGCAGAAGAGGAAAGUGGAAUUCCAUGUGUAGCGGUGAAAUGCGCAGAGAUAUGGAGGAACACCAGUGGCGAAGGCGGCUUUCUGGUCUGUAACUGACGCUGAUGUGCGAAAGCGUGGGGAUCAAACAGGAUUAGAUACCCUGGUAGUCCACGCGCCGUAAACGAUGAGAGGUUCCAAAGUGUUAAGGGGGUUUCCGCCCCUUAGUGCUGCAGCUAACGCAUUAAGCACUCCGCCUGGGGAGCGGUCGCAAGACUGAAACUCAAAGGAAUUGACGGGGACCCGCACAAGCAGUCGGUGGAGCAUGUGGUUUAAUUCGAAGCAACGCGAAGAACCUUACCAAAUCUUGACAUCUUUGACCACUCUAGAGAUAGAGUUUUCCUCUUCGGAGGACAAGUAAAUGACAGGUGGUGCAUGGUUGUCGUCAGCUCGUGUCGGCGAGAUGUUGGGUUAAGUCCCGCAACGAGCGCAACCCUUGAGCUUGUACUAGUCCGUA
This 856-nucleotide ribosomal RNA is filed under the name Staphylococcus chromogenes. Its description in RNAcentral is "bacterial SSU rRNA". It matches the Rfam family "Bacterial small subunit ribosomal RNA", at positions 305 to 1127 of the family's 1533-position model. The record is from RNAcentral. Lineage: Bacteria; Bacillati; Bacillota; Bacilli; Caryophanales; Staphylococcaceae.